CGCGGGAUGGAUCAGUAGGUAGCUCAUCGGGCUCAUAACCAGAAGGCCAUCGUUUUGAGACGGGGUUCCCGCUA
This 74-nucleotide transfer RNA is filed under the name Chryseobacterium sp. Leaf405. RNAcentral's name for it is "tRNA-Met". The record is from RNAcentral. Lineage: Bacteria; Pseudomonadati; Bacteroidota; Flavobacteriia; Flavobacteriales; Weeksellaceae.